RNAcentral lists this ribosomal RNA (308 nucleotides) under uncultured bacterium. Its description in RNAcentral is "bacterial SSU rRNA". It matches the Rfam family "Bacterial small subunit ribosomal RNA", at positions 28 to 320 of the family's 1533-position model. The record is from RNAcentral.
GAUGAACGCUGGCGGCGUGCUUAACACAUGCAAGUCGAACGAAGCACUUUACUUGAUUUUCUUCGGAACUGAUUGUAUUGUGACUGGGUGGCGGACGGGUGAGUAACGCGUGGAUAACCUGCCUCACACAGGGGGAUAACAGUUGGAAACGGCUGCUAAUACCGCAUAAGCGCACAGCACCGCAUGGUGCAGUGUGAAAAACUCCGGUGUGUGAGAUGGAUCCGCGUCUGAUUAGGCAGUUGGCGGGUAACGCCCACCAAGCCGACGAUCAGUAGCCGACCUGAGAGGGUGACCGGCACAUUGGGACU